UACGGAGGGUGCAAGCGUUAUCCGGAUUCACUGGGUUUAAAGGGAGCGUAGGUGGGCUUUUAAGUCAGCGGUGAAAUCUUUGGGCUUAACCCGAAAACUGCCAUUGAUACUAUUAGUCUUGAAUUCUCUGGAGGUAAGCGGAAUAUGUCAUGUAGCGGUGAAAUGCUUAGAUAUGACAUAGAACACCCAUUGCGAAGGCAGCUUACUACGGAGACAUUGACACUGAGGCUCGAAAGCGUGGGGAUCAAACAGGAUUAGAUACCCUGGUAGUCCACGCCCUAAACGAUGAUUACUCGACAUUAGCGAUAUUACAGUUAGUGUCUAAGCGAAAGCAUUAAGUAAUCCACCUGGGAAGUACGACCGCAAGGUUGAAACUCAAAGGAAUUGGCGGGGGUCCGCACAAGUGGCGGAGCAUGUGGUUUAAUUCGAUGAUACGCGAGGAACCUUACCUGGGCUAGAAUGCUGGGAGACCGCAGGUGAAAGCCUGUUUUGUAGCAAUACACUGCCAGUAAGGUGCUGCAUGGCUGUCGUCAGCUCGUGCCGUGAGGUGUUGGGUUAAGUCCCGCAACGAGCGCAACCCCUAUCUUUAGUUGCCAUCAGGUAAUGCUGGGAACUCUAAAGAAACUGCCGUCGUAAGACGUGAGGAAGGAGGGGAUGAUGUCAAGUCAUCAUGGCCUUUAUGCCCAGGGCUACACACGUGCUACAAUGGGGGGGACAAAGGGCUGCCACUUAGCGAUAAGGAGCUAAUCCCAAAAACCCUCUCUCAGUUCAGAUUGGAGUCUGCAACUCGACUCCAUGAAGCUGGAAUCACUAGUAAUCGUAUAUCAGCAAUGAUACGGUGAAUACGUUCCCGGACCU
This 858-nucleotide ribosomal RNA is filed under the name uncultured bacterium. RNAcentral describes it as "SSU rRNA". It matches the Rfam family "Bacterial small subunit ribosomal RNA", at positions 524 to 1381 of the family's 1533-position model. The record is from RNAcentral.